This 361-nucleotide ribosomal RNA is filed under the name uncultured bacterium. RNAcentral's name for it is "partial 16S ribosomal RNA". It matches the Rfam family "Bacterial small subunit ribosomal RNA", at positions 338 to 696 of the family's 1533-position model. The record is from RNAcentral.
CCUACGGGCGGCUGCAGUGAGGAAUAUUGGUCAAUGGGCGGAAGCCUGAACCAGCCAAGUCGCGUGAGGGAUUAAGGCCCUAUGGGUCGUAAACCUCUUUUGUCAGGAAGCAAUGGCGUCCACGUGUGGGCGUAUGGAGAGUAACUGCAGACAAAGCAUCGGCUAACUCCGUGCCAGCAGCCGCGGUAAUACGUGGGUUGCGAGCGUUAUCCGGAUUUAUUUGGUGUGAAGGGUGCGUCGGCGGGACCUUAAGUCAGCGGUAAAAUUGCGGUGCUAAACGCCGUAGAGCCGUUGAAACUGGGGUUCUUGAGUGAGCGAGAGGUAUGCGGAAUGCGUGGUGUAGCGGUGAAAUGCAUAGAGA